UGGGCAGAUAGAGAAGAAGAAGAGGUGGCCAGACAAAGGGAGAAGAAGAAGAGAUGGGCAGAUAGAGAAGAAGAAGAGGUGGGCAGAUAGAGAAGAAGAAGAAGAGGUGGGCAGAUAGAGAAGAAGAAGAGAUGGCCAGACAAAGGGAGAAGAAGAAGAGAUGGGCAGAUAGAGAAGAAGAAGAGGUGGGCAGAUAGAGAAGAAGAAGAGAUGGGCAGAUAGAGAAGAAGAAGAGACGGGCAGAUAGAGAAGAAGAAGAGAUGGCCAGACAAAGGGAGCAGAAGAAGAGGUGGGCAGAUAGA
Molecule: long non-coding RNA, 302 nt
Organism: Oncorhynchus tshawytscha (Chinook salmon)
Lineage: Eukaryota; Metazoa; Chordata; Actinopteri; Salmoniformes; Salmonidae
Source: Ensembl